AUACGGAGGAUGCGAGCGUUAUCCGGAUUUAUUGGGUUUAAAGGGUGCGUAGGCUGUGCUGCAAGUCAGUGGUGAAAGACCUGCGCUCAACGCAGGAAGUGCCAUUGAUACUGCAGUGCUGGAGUACCCCUGCCGUGGGAGGAAUGAGUGGUGUAGCGGUGAAAUGCAUAGAUAUCACUCAGAACACCGAUUGCGAAGGCAUCUCACGAAAGGGCAACUGUCGCUGAGGCACGAAAGCGUGGGGAUCAAACAGGCUUAGAUACCCUGGUAGUCCACGCUGUAAACGAUGAUGACUAACUGUCGGCGAUAUACAGUCGGUAGCCAAGCGAAAGCGAUAAGUCAUCCACCUGGGGAGUACGACCGCAAGGUUGAAACUCAAAUGAAUUGGCGGGG
Molecule: ribosomal RNA, 393 nt
Filed under: uncultured bacterium
Lineage: Bacteria
Description: partial 16S ribosomal RNA
Rfam family: Bacterial small subunit ribosomal RNA
Source: RNAcentral